RNAcentral lists this transfer RNA (64 nucleotides) under Vignadula atrata. RNAcentral's name for it is "tRNA-Thr". The record is from RNAcentral. Lineage: Eukaryota; Metazoa; Mollusca; Bivalvia; Mytilida; Modiolidae.
GCCUCGAAAGCUUUGUGGUGAAGCAUUGGUCUUGUAAGUCAACGAAGGCAGAUGUCUUGAGGCU